RNAcentral lists this ribosomal RNA (253 nucleotides) under uncultured bacterium. RNAcentral's name for it is "partial 16S ribosomal RNA". It matches the Rfam family "Bacterial small subunit ribosomal RNA", at positions 524 to 776 of the family's 1533-position model. The record is from RNAcentral.
UACGAAGGGGGCUAGCGUUGCUCGGAAUCACUGGGCGUAAAGGGUGCGUAGGCGGGUUUCAUAGUUAGGGGUGAAAGUCUGGGGCUCAACCUCAGGACUGCGUCUGAUACUGGAAGGCUUGAGUGUGAAAGAGGGUCGUGGAACUUCCAGUGUAGAGGUGAAAUUCGUAGAUAUUGGAAAGAACACCGGUGGCGAAGGCGGCGACCUGGUUCAUUACUGACGCUGAGGCGCGAAAGCGUGGGGAGCAAACAGG